AACGCGAAGAACCUUACCUAGACUUGACAUCUUCUGCAUUACCCUUAAUCGGGGAAGUUCCUUCGGGAACAGAAUGACAGGUGGUGCAUGGUUGUCGUCAGCUCGUGUCGUGAGAUGUUGGGUUAAGUCCCGCAACGAGCGCAACCCCUAUUGUUAGUUGCUACCAUUAAGUUGAGCACUCUAGCGAGACUGCCCGGGUUAACCGGGAGGAAGGUGGGGAUGACGUCAAAUCAUCAUGCCCCUUAUGUCUAGGGCUACACACGUGCUACAAUGGCAAGUACAGAGAGAUGCAAUACCGUGAGGUGGAGCUAAACUUUAAAACUUGUCUCAGUUCGGAUUGUAGGCUGAAACUCGCCUACAUGAAGCUGGAGUUACUAGUAAUCGCGAAUCAGCAUGUCGCGGUGAAUACGUUCCCGGGCCUUGUACACACCG
Molecule: ribosomal RNA, 432 nt
Filed under: uncultured bacterium
Lineage: Bacteria
Description: bacterial SSU rRNA
Rfam family: Bacterial small subunit ribosomal RNA
Source: RNAcentral